UACGUAGGGUGCGAGCGUUAAUCGGAAUUACUGGGCGUAAAGCGUGCGCAGGCGGUCGAGUAAGUCGAAUGUGAAAGCCCCCGGCUUAACUGGGGAGGGUCAUUCGAUACUGUUCGACUUGAAGGCAGGAGAGGGCAGCAGAAUUCCCGGUGUAGUGGUGAAAUGCGUAGAUAUCGGGAGGAAUACCAGUGGCGAAGGCGGCUGCCUGGCCUGUUCUUGACGCUGAGGCGCGAAAGCUGGGGGAGCAAACGGG
This 253-nucleotide ribosomal RNA is filed under the name uncultured bacterium. RNAcentral's name for it is "partial 16S ribosomal RNA". It matches the Rfam family "Bacterial small subunit ribosomal RNA", at positions 524 to 776 of the family's 1533-position model. The record is from RNAcentral.